This is an RNA transcript of Pan troglodytes (chimpanzee), 871 nucleotides long. It is a transcript of the gene named salivary acidic proline-rich phosphoprotein 1/2, with no coding region annotated. The record is from RefSeq and is a predicted model, not a curated record. NCBI's taxonomy places the organism in Eukaryota, Metazoa, Chordata, Mammalia, Primates, Hominidae. The transcript has 6 exons.
GACAAGAAGGCGCCAGCUUUUUAAACAUUGGAAGUUCUUCUGUGUCAGUUCUGUGACAGAACAUUUACUUAACACAUCAUGAAGGCCAGUUUGGAUGUGGAGGGGAAUAGACUCCAUCUAUCCAUAUGAGCUGCUGCAGAAGAAUAUUUUGCCUGCUGGAACCUGCUGUAUCUACUCAAGAGUGGAAGUUUUCACAGAUGUCAGCCAAGAAGACGUUCCCUUGGUAAUAUCAGAUGGAGGAGACUCUGAGCAGUUCCUAGAUGAGGAGCGUCAGGGACCACCUUUGGGAGGACAGCAAUCUCAACCCUCUGCUGGUGAUGGAAACCAGGAUGAUGGCCCUCAGCAGGGACCACCCCAACAAGGAGGCCAGCAGCAACAAGGUCCACCACCUCCUCAGGGAAAGCCACAAGGACCACCCCAACAGGGAGGCCAUCCCCGUCCUCCUCGAGAAGGGCCACAAGGACCACCCCAACAGGGAGGCCAUCCCCGUCCUCCUCGAGAAGGGCCACAAGGACCACCCCAACAGGGAGGCCAUCCCCGUCCUCCUCGAGAAGGGCCACAAGGACCACCCCAACAGGGAGGCCAUCCCCGUCCUCCUCGAGAAAGGCCACAAGGACCACCCCAACAGGGAGGCCAUCAGCAAGGUCCUCCCCCACCUCCUCCUGGAAAGCCCCAGGGACCACCUCCCCAAGGGGGCCGCCCCCAAGGACCUCCACAGGGGCAGUCUCCUCAGUAAUCUAGGAUUCAAUGACAGAUGUGAACUAUGAAGACUUUACUUUCACCAUACCAGAUGUAGAGGACUCAAGUCAGAGACCAGAUCAGGGACCCCAGAGACCUCCUCCUGAAGGACUCCUACCUAGACCCCCUGGUG